CAGUCGCCGCGGGAAUACGGAGGGAGCUAGCGUUGUUCGGAAUCACUGGGCGUAAAGCGCGCGUAGGCGGUUACUCAAGUCAGAGGUGAAAGCCCGGGGCUCAACCCCGGAACUGCCUUUGAAACUAGGUAACUAGAAUCUUGGAGAGGUCAGUGGAAUUCCGAGUGUAGAGGUGAAAUUCGUAGAUAUUCGGAAGAGCACCAGUGGCGAAGGCGGCUCACUGGACUGGUAUUGACGCUGAGGUGCGAAAGCGUGGGGAGCAAACAGGAUUAGAUACCCGCGUAGUCCCUGUCUCUUAUAC
Molecule: ribosomal RNA, 301 nt
Filed under: uncultured bacterium
Lineage: Bacteria
Description: partial 16S ribosomal RNA
Rfam family: Bacterial small subunit ribosomal RNA
Source: RNAcentral